CGUUCGCAAUGUCUUCUCCUGCGCUGAUAAUUGGCGUCUGUCUUGUGUCAGUGACGUAAAAGACGGAUUUAAUGCGACAUGACCGUUCAAACAGCAGUCGCUUUCUAAAACAUCGGAUAUGUAUCGGAUUCAGUACCACAUACGAAAGUGACCCAGAUCGGAUUUGAAAAUAUCGGAUUUGUGCCGUUCACACUGUCAUACCAUGAUCGGAUAUGGGUCGCAUAGGGUCAGAAAAGUCGGAUUUGAUGCGCUUUCGCCUGCAGUGUGAACGUAGCCAAAAUGUGGCUACAAAUGCGUCCUACUCUGCCCCGAAUUUUAAGGAUGGGUCCGAUCUAUCCUUCGUGUCCUACCAUAUCCCAGGAUUCAUUGCGGUUCAUAGAGGAGAUUUGUUUCUGAUAACGAUGGUGGUCGAAGCAGGAGAGGAAAACGCCUUCAAAUGUAAGUAUAUGAAAAUCUGGUUGUACAAAAGUUAAAUUGUUAUAGCGGUUGUGUUAAGCUUUGGGCAUCUGCAUAGACAUGUUUUUUGGGGGGGGGGUUUAAUUUAAAUAACCGUAAACCAGCUUGUAUCGGUGGUCCCGCGAUUUUUCAUGUAUUGCCGCUUACAUACAGCUAAUUUAGAUUUUUUCGAAUUGGUGAUAUGUUGUGGGGAACAAAGACCAAACGGCUUAAUUUAUUAAAACGAGGAGAAAACGAUCACCUCUUCACUGGGGUGAAGAAUUGGGCCACUGUGGCGUGGAUGCACAAGAAUAAAUCAAUUUACACAUCAUAUUCAUAUGAGUACGGUCCUAUUAACCCUCAUGCCGUACAGCAGCGGUCCCCCAACCUGUUUUGAGCCACAGACCGGUUUAUGUCAGACACGGAGCGGCCUUUAAGGUAUCGCGGAUAAAUACAACCACAUAAAAUGAUCCGACCAAGACAAAAACUGUGGUAUUUUGUAAAUAUAAUAAUAAACGUGAAUGUACUGUGUAACUGUAACUUUAUUAGCAGCGUCCUCCUGAAAAUGUGCCAAUAUUGACAGUAACAUCCUCCUCUCUGCCACUUAAUGCUCUCUGCUCGCUAUGGUAACGUGUAAAUAUUUCUUUCAAAAUAAGACACACAACUACAACAAGGGAAAGACUCAGGGAAACCGAGUUAACGAUAAAACCCUGAAAACCAUCAAUUUCACACCGGAGCCUUAACUCUCGUGGCCCGGUACCAAACGACUCACGGACCGCUGCUGUACAGAACCUGUGAUGUCCAGACGGUGUUCCUCUGGUGUUCUGCUGUGAAAACCUUUGGGCUUAGGGAUUAACAUAGUUGCCAUGGUUUCCUUUCUUCUCUUAUUUGUUGUGUGUGAUCAGGACAAUUUUGGAGAGGAUGGGCCUGCAGGGGAAAGUCACCCCCUUGCAGGCCAGAAGACAUGAGAUAACUUUAAAGAAUACAAAGAUUGCAAGUAUCCAAGCUCAGGAGAGGGAGUCAGUGGGAAGCCCACUGCUGCUACUUGGCCCUGGUUUGCCCUCAUGGAUGAGGUGAUAGGACAGAUGCCUUCCAUUAAGCCUCCUGUCCUAAUUUCCUCUCUCCCUGAGGACACUCCAGGGCCAAGCGCAGCAGUGGGUGACCAAAACGACAGCGAUGACGAAGCAGC
This is a long non-coding RNA of Oreochromis aureus, 1624 nucleotides long. The record is from Ensembl. NCBI's taxonomy places the organism in Eukaryota, Metazoa, Chordata, Actinopteri, Cichliformes, Cichlidae.